Molecule: transfer-messenger RNA, 370 nt
Filed under: Coriobacteriia bacterium
Lineage: Bacteria; Bacillati; Actinomycetota; Coriobacteriia
Also listed under: 2 other names
Rfam family: transfer-messenger RNA
About the family: Bacterial tmRNA, also known as 10Sa RNA or SsrA, is named for its dual tRNA and mRNA-like properties. Its role is to liberate the mRNA from a stalled ribosome. To accomplish this part of the tmRNA is used as a reading frame that ends in a translation stop signal.
Source: RNAcentral
GGGGGCGACCGGUUUCGACAUGUGACGAGACUGAAGUCCUGCAAGUCGUGGUCUCCUAGUUCCACGUUAAAUAUUAGGUAAUGUCAAAUUUAAUUGACAAAACUAACACAAAUGGGGCUUAUGCCCUUGCUGCUUAAAUUAAUAGCAGCACGCUAAUCUCUAUGACUUCCUCUAAUAGGGAGCAGCGUCGUUUUUAGAGGGAUGCUAGUUUGGUAGUUGCUUGAGCUCCAAGCUAAAAGAUUUCUCAAGCACUUGCACAAAUCGCGUGUCAGCUAGCAUGUUUGUGCUCGUAAUGAAUAGUUGACUAAACUUGUAGAUGGGUUUUGGGUUUGUUGUAUGGACCGGAGUUCGAUUCUCCGCGCCUCCACCA